GUCUUCUGGUACGUCUCUUCGGGAAACUUUUUAAUUCAAGCGUGACAUGCACUGGGACGGGCCGGUCACAGGUGAACUUGAUCCAUGCAACCCGCUAAGACACGGAGGCUUCGCCCUCCCUGGGAGGACUGGUUUCCUGUCUCCCUUCUCCACCCUCCUCUCCCAGGAAACCUAGAUUCUGACUCUAAAAACAUGAGUUUUCCCCGAUUUGGUGCAGGUACAUAAAGGGCAUCUUCAGCAUGAGCUGUUAGGGGUCUGGCCUUUGCAUUCCACGUGUCCAUGUCCUUGGCUGUACUUUCCCCCUUGCCGCAGGAGAGAUCACGUUGCAAGGACAUCUCUGCAAACCCUUUGCCUUAUCUAGGAAGAAUCUCCAGAUUUAGGUGUUCUGAGUGGAACGGGGUAAACAUUUUUUAUAGCUCCCAAAACGCUUUCUGAAGGAUGCACGACCCUUCUCCCUGCUCAUCUGGGAAGUCUGUCACCAAGGUUAAAAAGGGUGACUCGAGCUUUCACUGGGAGAGAGGCCAAGAGGGGCCCAGGUCUAGAUCCUCCUGGGGAAGGAUCUGAAACUAAGUGCUGAGAAUUCCCGCCUAUGGGCCUGACAGUUCUUGGUCAUAAGCCACAGAAUCCUCUGUGCUGGGCGAGGUAGAAACGCAGCCUACUGAAGGCAACUGGGUAGCCAGUCCGUGGAUUACCUGGGGGGUUUGGUGACUGUGUGGCAGGAUCAGAACUCAAAUCCCCAGGCCCUUCAGUUUAUGCUCUGGACUCUGAGCACUGGACGUCUGGCCAGUGCCGCUGUCCCCAGACAUACGGACGGAAUUCCUCUCUUGUCUCUUUG
This 835-nucleotide long non-coding RNA is filed under the name Marmota monax (woodchuck). Lineage: Eukaryota; Metazoa; Chordata; Mammalia; Rodentia; Sciuridae. The record is from RNAcentral.